UCGCCAUUCAUUUCAAUAUCUAUAUACGGUGACAAUUGAUCAGUCUAUUUGAUCAAAAUCCGGCGAGACCCAUACCCUAGGAUCCUAAACGAUCACAUCGUUGUCCCCUUUUCUCCCAUUUUCAGGGAUUCUCAAAUCCUUCUACUGUUGUCGAGUUUGAAUUUCAAAUUCAAAAUUUUCACCCGCUUCCCCCCUAAUUGGCCUUAGUUUUCCUCUAUAUAAGUCACUCUUACCUAUCGGUAAAAAGGAGGGCAGCGAGCAUAGGAAGAGGAUUUUGAGUUCGGUUCCUUGGCAAUAGAUGUUUAACAGUUAAGAUUUUGAUAUGAAGCUCUCUGGUUUUAAGUUCCUAGAAGGUCGUCGCCAGAUUUUCUUGUUUUGCUGUUCGUAUUCGAAUUUUGUGGUGGAAGAAUUGUGUUCGUAUUCCUUUGCUCGUUCGUCCCAUUCGCUUCACCAGAAAAGCCCCAUGCCAAAUUGCAAAGUGAUGAACAGGCUCAAUAUGAGGCCGGAAAUUAGUUUGUGAAGCCUAGAAAAGGGUUGUAUAUGUGCUGUUAUACAGAAUUUUACACCGUUAUACAGGUUUAGUUAAGAAAAUAUGCGGUUAAAAAUGGAAGUAAAGGUUGUAAUAGUUGAAGUAGCCUGUAUACUUUCGAUAUUUAGCCGAAUAUACACGAAAAGGGCUAAAAUACACACUGUAUACGACAGAAUACACUUGGUAUAUACACAACUUUUCAAUGGCAGAAAUAAGGCUGAAGCCCAAAUAAUUUGCAGCAGGCCCAGAAAGGACCCAAAUCUUCUCUCUCCCUUACUCUUAAAAUAUUUGAUUAUGAUUAUUUAUUGUUUGAUUCUUUAAUAACUCUAACUUUGGAUUUAUUAAAUAACGUAAUUAAAUUUCCAAAAGAUGAA
This is a long non-coding RNA of Solanum pennellii, 903 nucleotides long. RefSeq lists it as uncharacterized. The transcript is spliced from 2 exons. The record is from RefSeq and is a predicted model, not a curated record. Lineage: Eukaryota; Viridiplantae; Streptophyta; Magnoliopsida; Solanales; Solanaceae.